CCUACGGGAGGCAGCAGUGGGGGAUAUUGCACAAUGGGGGGAACCCUGAUGCAGCGACGCCGCGUGGGUGAAGGAGUGCUUCGGCAUGUAAAGCCCUAUCGGCAGGGAAGAAGCAAGACGGUACCUGACUAAGAAGCCCCGGCUAACUACGUGCCAGCAGCCGCGGUAAUACGUAGGGGGCGAGCGUUAUCCGGAUUCACUGGGUGGAAAGGGAGCGUAGACGGCCAAGCAAGCCAGGGGGGAAAGCCCGGGGCCCAACCCCGGGACUGCCCUUGGAACUGCAUGGCUGGAGUGCGGGAGGGGCAGGCGGAAUUCCUGGUGUAGCGGUGAAAUGCGUAGAUAUCAGGAGGAACACCGGCGGCGAAGGCGGCCUGCUGGACCGCGACUGACGUUGAGGCUCGAAAGCGUGGGGAGCGAACAGGAUUAGAUACCCGUGUAGUC
Molecule: ribosomal RNA, 441 nt
Filed under: uncultured bacterium
Lineage: Bacteria
Description: partial 16S ribosomal RNA
Rfam family: Bacterial small subunit ribosomal RNA
Source: RNAcentral